AACGAACGCUGGCGGCAUGCCUAACACAUGCAAGUCGAACGAACCCUUCGGGGUUAGUGGCGCACGGGUGCGUAACGCGUGGGAAUCUGCCCUUGGCUUCGGAAUAACAGUUAGAAAUGACUGCUAAUACCGGAUGAUGACGAAAGUCCAAAGAUUUAUCGGCCAGGGAUGAGCCCGCGUAGGAUUAGGUAGUUGGUGGGGUAAAGGCCUACCAAGCCGACGAUCCUUAGCUGGUCUGAGAGGAUGAUCAGCCACACUGGGACUGAGACACGGCCCAGACUCCUACGGGAGGCAGCAGUGGGGAAUAUUGGACAAUGGGGGAAACCCUGAUCCAGCAAUGCCGCGUGAGUGAUGAAGGCCUUAGGGUUGUAAAGCUCUUUUACCCGGGAUGAUAAUGACAGUACCGGGAGAAUAAGCUCCGGCUAACUCCGUGCCAGCAGCCGCCGUAA
This 449-nucleotide ribosomal RNA is filed under the name uncultured bacterium. Its description in RNAcentral is "partial 16S ribosomal RNA". It matches the Rfam family "Bacterial small subunit ribosomal RNA", at positions 29 to 523 of the family's 1533-position model. The record is from RNAcentral.